Molecule: ribosomal RNA, 380 nt
Filed under: uncultured eukaryote
Lineage: Eukaryota
Description: partial 18S ribosomal RNA
Rfam family: Eukaryotic small subunit ribosomal RNA
Source: RNAcentral
CAAUAGCGUAUAUUAAAGUUGUUGCGGUUAAAAAGCUCGUAGUUGGAUUUCUGCCGAGGACGACCGGUCCGCCCUCUGGGUGUGUAUCUGGUUUGGCCUGGGCAUCUUCUUGGAGAACGUAGCUGCACUUGACUGUGUGGUGCGGUGUCCAGGACUUUUACUUUGAGGAAAUUAGAGUGUUUCAAGCAGGCACACGCCUUGAAUACAUUAGCAUGGAAUAAUAAGAUAGGACCUCGGUUCUAUUUUGUUGGUUUCUAGAGUCGCCGUAAUGAUUAAUAGGGAUAGUUGGGGGCAUUAGUAUUCAGUUGCUAGAGGUGAAAUUCUUGGAUUUACUGAAGACUAACUACUGCGAAAGCAUUUGCCAAGGAUGUUUUCAUUAA